ACAAAAGUAUUGAGAAGGAUAAGGAUUUAAGGAAGCUGUUUACAGAGAGGCGAGCAUUGCUGAGAGCUCACCAACGAUUGCACCUUACAAUUCACCACCUUUGAACUGACUAUCUGAACUUACAGUAAGAUAGUCCGGAACCUUUUCCGUUACCAAGGCCCAUGAGGAUAGCUUCGGCUAUUAAAUGAGGGUGGAACCACGACUGUUCAUUCAGACGUCCCUUUG
RNAcentral lists this non-coding RNA (225 nucleotides) under Brochothrix thermosphacta. Its description in RNAcentral is "T-box". It matches the Rfam family "T-box leader". Rfam says of the family: Uncharged tRNA acts as the effector for transcription antitermination of genes in the T-box leader family. T-boxes are found upstream of many aminoacyl-tRNA synthetase genes and some amino acid biosynthetic genes usually in Gram-positive bacteria. The record is from RNAcentral. Lineage: Bacteria; Bacillati; Bacillota; Bacilli; Caryophanales; Listeriaceae.